GUUUAUCAAAAACAUGUCUUUUUGAAUUUAAUAUAAAGUCUAACCUGCCCCCUGAAUUUUAAAUGGCCGCAGUAUUUUAACUGUGCAAAGGUAGCAUAAUCAUUAGUCUUUUAAUUGAAGGCUGGAAUGAAUGGUUGAAUGAGGCAUUAACUGUUUCUUAUAUAUUUAAAAUAGAAAUUUAUUUUUUAGUAAAAAAGCUAAAAUUAAUUUAAAAGACAAGAAGACCCUAUAAAUCUUUAUAUUUUAUUGGGGUGAUAAUGAAAUUAUAAAACUUUUUAAUUAAUAAAAUAAGUUACUUUAGGGAUAACAGCAUAAUUUUUUUAACAAGUUCAUAUUAAUAAAAAAGAUU
Molecule: ribosomal RNA, 349 nt
Filed under: Apocephalus platypalpis
Lineage: Eukaryota; Metazoa; Arthropoda; Insecta; Diptera; Phoridae
Description: partial 16S ribosomal RNA
Rfam family: Bacterial large subunit ribosomal RNA
Source: RNAcentral